RNAcentral lists this long non-coding RNA (670 nucleotides) under Monodelphis domestica (gray short-tailed opossum). RNAcentral's name for it is "lncRNA (ENSMODG00000041590.1)". Lineage: Eukaryota; Metazoa; Chordata; Mammalia; Didelphimorphia; Didelphidae. The record is from RNAcentral.
GAGCCUGAGUCAAGAAUUCUAAUGUCCCAACUGUAAAACAGUCUCCUGGAGGAAGCUUUGGAGAUUGGAGAUUUUCCAUCUGUCUACCAGGUUUCUGGCCCUUUGGAAGAUACCAGCUUGAGUGAGAGAAAACCUGUUUGGAGUGGCUGCUGGCAGCUAGACAGAAGACCACAGAAGAAUCACUUCUCUACUGGACCUACUUUGGACAUUUUCUUCUGGGAUCUUGGCUCAUACACUGGACUCUAUUUUGUGAAAUCCAGUUUAAAUGAACAUCGAAGGGGAAAGAUCAUCAUUAAAGGUAAACCUACAAUCUGAAGAAUAUGUGUGAAAGGAAGUGAGAAGGGGCAGAGUUUCAUUUUUGUGCCCAGAUAAUAAGGGAAUGGGGUGGAAUUCACGAGAGGGGUGUAUGUGUGUAUGUGUAUGUGUGUGUGUGUGCAUGUGUGCAUGCUGUGUACACUUCAGAGGUUUUUCUAGCAUAUUGCUUUGUUUGUAGCAAGAGAUGGUGGCCAAGUCCUUCUUUUUCUCUCUUUUCUUAAGGUCCUGUCUAAUCUCAGUUAUUUAGAUUUUUCUCAAAGUUCAGACUCUAACCUUGGGACAGCUUAAUGGACAGGGUGCAUCUUGGGUGUAUUAUCAAGACUUCAGGUAAAUAAAUCUAAGUCUCAUUUUCUCA